RNAcentral lists this long non-coding RNA (374 nucleotides) under Rattus norvegicus (Norway rat). Its description in RNAcentral is "long non-coding RNA NONRATT021296". The record is from RNAcentral. Lineage: Eukaryota; Metazoa; Chordata; Mammalia; Rodentia; Muridae.
AUGAUGUCACCUUGAUGUUAACAGGGCUCCUUCCUCAUCGUGUCUGUGGUUGACCUUGUCUUCCUCAGACCAUGGCUGCUUUUUCUUCAAAGGGGCAUAUGGUGGAACCAAACAAUCCACGAGAAUGGUCCUGAACACAAGGGUGACAGAGAUACCCAGCUGCUGACACUGAGGAGGGCAGGGAAGCAGAACAUGGGUUGACUGGUUACCCCAGCCAGAGUAGCAGCCAUCUGAGUCACGGACUUUCCCUACACGCAUGCCUGCUCAGUAGAAAAUCACCAGCCCGAGCCCGCUAACCAGCUGCCGGACACGGGUGGAAAUGCUGACCGUUGUUGCCAUUUAACUUUCUCCUGUAUAAAAAUGUGCAAGUUUAA